Long non-coding RNA from Hemicordylus capensis (graceful crag lizard), 2019 nucleotides. RefSeq lists it as uncharacterized. NCBI's taxonomy places the organism in Eukaryota, Metazoa, Chordata, Lepidosauria, Squamata, Cordylidae. The record is from RefSeq and is a predicted model, not a curated record. The transcript has 4 exons.
UGUGGGACUAGAUUGAGGAAGAACGUUCUGGGGUGGAUAAGAACUGGGUAUUUUUAGUGUGAAUCUAUCACCAUCUAUGGCAAAUACAAAUCCCAGUAUUACAGAAAUAUACCAUCAAGAGGGUUCUCUGGAAAUGGGAUGAGGCAGCAGAAGGAAGGAAAAGCAAGACUUGACAACCAAGAGUACAACAGAUGAAACUAUACCAUAGAUGUCAUUGGAUUUAAGCAUUUUCCCCAUUGGUGUGCUAAGUAAUACAAAGAUCAACUACUAUGAAAAGAAAAUAAGUGCAGAAGCAUAUGUCAGUGUAUAGAUGAUGAAGAAGGCAAAAUGACAUUUAUCUUUCAGAUUGAAGAAGGGGAGAGGGAGAUGAUGGUGUAAAGAAUUCAGGAUUCAUCAGCUCAGGGAACUUACAACAAACCUAACUUGAGCAAAGGAUUGCAUCUUGAACUACUAAUUCGAGGCAAUGAGCUGAUGACAAGCCACAUAUGGAUUAAAAUCAUGACAUGAAUCUACAAGUUCCUGAAUGUCAAAUACAUAUAAUACCUACAGACAAUGAAUACCCUUUUGGUCAAUCCAAGGUAAUAACUGUAAAGUCUUCACAUAUAUUUGGAAGACAAUUGUGAAUAACACAAAUGAAUCCUUUAAAAUAGCUGAGUCUUGAGAUUAUAUAAUAAGAAUUGGAUGUAAAGCUUCUCCAUAAAAGAGACUUCCAUUUGUUUCCUCCUCUAAAUAAUUUCCUCCACCAGUAAGUUGUAUUGUUAUGAAAUGUUGUCUAUGCACAGCUACAAAAGAUCUACAGAGACAGGAAAGAUUAGAAAGUAAUCUAUUCAUGGCGUGCAUAGAGGACAUUUUCUAAAAUUGCAAGAUGAAUUAAGUGUGGCAAUAAUGGCUGACACAGAGCAGAGGGAUCAGGAAUGUCAAAAGUCAGGGUUGCAUAGCAUAUGAAGGGGACGUUUGUUUAUCAAAAAUAUGUCAAAAAUCAGGGUUGUACAGCAUAUUAAAGAGACAUUUGUUUAACAAAAAUAUGGUCUUAAGAGGUUAUUGUUGCUACUAUUUUCAGUGUAAAUGCAUAAUGAAUUUAUAUUAAUGAGCAGAAAUGCUAGCCAGAUCUGAUAUGACAGAAAUGCACUCCGAUUUGACAAGUGAAGUAACAUCUGGGAGCACAUGCGCCUACUUGGAGGAUGGGGAAUCAGCAGUGAUCAAGAUGCAGCCGCAUGGGAUGCCAUUCAACAUCUUAUCAGAUGGACCAAAGAUCCUCUCACUUCCUUUUUUUCUUGCACUUAAAGACUAUAAACUAAACUGAUCUAAACUGUGGCAUAAUCUGACACAAAUCCAUCCCACUUCCCUUUUUCUCCCAUGUUGAGUGUUCAGAAUCAGACACAUACAUGAGUGUUGCUUGUGCAAUACCCCAGCCAGAUCCAACAGGCAGCCAUGGCUACAUAACUCCAUCAGAUAGCCAGUAGUAACACACAUUGCCCUGAAAGGAGAAAAAGCUGAGAGCUGGUUUUAGCUGAAUGGUGAGACUGUGGUAUAUCUGAGAGAGGAUGCAAGAAUAGUUGGAUGGGGACAUUUAAUUUAAGGAUUCAUUCACAGUUCCUAACUUGAAGAUGAGGUGAUACAAAACCCCUCAUAAAGACAUAGCAGAGGGCAUCGAGUUCUUCAGGUUUCACAACAUCCGUCUUUAGCUAGAGCUCCUAAGUAGUUUGGGGUUUUUUUAAUUUUAUGCCAGAGGGGUGUUUUUUAUUUAAAGAAAUUUUGGUUGGAAGCAAGUUUCAUUUGGUUUUUAAAACUCUAUUAUUUUAAGGGUUUUUUAACUCUACUAUUUUAUUUCCCCUUUUAAUGUCUUUUAUGCAUUUUUAUGACUUUUAAACAUAGUAAUUGUAUUAUUAUUAUUAUAUGCAUUUACAUUUUUAGUAUUUUAGUACUUUUAGCUCUUUUAGCAUUUGCAUUUUUAACACUCUCAUACAUUAUAAGUACUAUUAGUUCUUUUAAUGUUAAUAUACAUCAUCACAUAUGUAA